GACGGACGCUGGCGGCGUGCUUAACACAUGCAAGUCGAACGGAAAGGCCCUGCUUUUGUGGGGUGCUCGAGUGGCGAACGGGUGAGUAACACGUGAGUAACCUGCCCUUGACUUUGGGAUAACUUCAGGAAACUGGGGCUAAUACCGGAUAGGAGCCCCUGCUGCAUGGUGGGGGUUGGAAAGUUUCGGCGGUUGGGGAUGGACUCGCGGCUUAUGAGCUUGUUGGUGGGGUAGUGGCUUACCAAGGCUUUGACGGGUAGCCGGCCUGAGAGGGUGACCGGCCACAUUGGGACUGAGAUACGGCCCAGACUCCUACGGGGGGCAGCAGUGGGGAAUAUUGCACAGUGGGCGGAAGCCUGAUGCAGCAGCGCCGCGUGCGGGAUGACGGCCUUCGGGUUGUAAACCGCUUUCGCCUGUGACGAAGCGUGAGUGACGGUAAUGGGUAAAGAAGCACCGGCUAACUACGUG
Molecule: ribosomal RNA, 468 nt
Filed under: uncultured bacterium
Lineage: Bacteria
Description: partial 16S ribosomal RNA
Rfam family: Bacterial small subunit ribosomal RNA
Source: RNAcentral